UCGAGAAUUUUUCACAAUGGGCGAAAGCCUGAUGGAGCGACGCCGCGUGGGGGAUGAAUGGCUUCGGCCCGUAAACCCCUGUCAUUCGCGAGCAAACGUUAUUAUUUAAAAGAUGAUAGCCUGAUAGUAGCGAAAGAGGAAGGGACGGCUAACUCUGUGCCAGCAGCCGCGGUAAUACAGAGGUCCCAAGCGUUGUUCGGAUUUACUGGGCGUAAAGGGUGCGUAGGUGGUGGGGUAAGUCGGAUGUGAAAUCUCCGAGCUCAACUCGGAAAGUGCAUUGGAAACUACCCUGCUCGAGGGUUGGAGGGGGGACUGGAAUACUUGGUGUAGCAGUGAAAUGCGUAGAUAUCAAGUGGAACACCAGUGGCGAAGGCGAGUCCCUGGACAACUCCUGACACUGAGGCACGAGAGCGUGGGGAGCAAACAG
This 427-nucleotide ribosomal RNA is filed under the name uncultured bacterium. Its description in RNAcentral is "bacterial SSU rRNA". It matches the Rfam family "Bacterial small subunit ribosomal RNA", at positions 355 to 775 of the family's 1533-position model. The record is from RNAcentral.